AGUGAACGCUGGCGGUAGGCCUAACACAUGCAAGUCGAACGGCAGCACAGUAAGAGCUUGCUCUUACGGGUGGCGAGUGGCGGACGGGUGAGGCAUACAUCGGAAUCUACUUUUUCGUGGGGGAUAACGUAGGGAAACUUACGCUAAUACCGCAUACGACCUACGGGUGAAAGCAGGGGAUCUUCGGACCUUGCGCGAUUGAAUGAGCCGAUGUCGGAUUAGCUAGUUGGCGGGGUAAAGGCCCACCAAGGCAACGAUCCGUAGCUGGUCUGAGAGGAUGAUCGGCCACACUGGAACUGAGACACGGUCCAGACUCCUACGGGAGGCAGCAGUGGGGAAUAUUGGACAAUGGGCGAAAGCCUGAUGCAGCAAUGCCGCGUGGGUGAAGAAGGUCUUCGGGUUGUAAAGCCCUUUUGUUGGGAAAGAAAAGCAGCAGGUUAAUACCCGGCUGUUCUGACGGUACCCAAAGAAUAAGCAACGGCUAACUUCGUG
Molecule: ribosomal RNA, 492 nt
Filed under: uncultured bacterium
Lineage: Bacteria
Description: partial 16S ribosomal RNA
Rfam family: Bacterial small subunit ribosomal RNA
Source: RNAcentral